Molecule: long non-coding RNA, 592 nt
Filed under: Drosophila guanche
Lineage: Eukaryota; Metazoa; Arthropoda; Insecta; Diptera; Drosophilidae
Source: RNAcentral
AUUUAAAAAGGUUUAAAAAAUGUCUGAAAAUACUUUACAAAUUCGAAAUAUUUAUUUGUGACCUAAAUUGUAAUUUUCCUUUAGUUCUACUUAAUUUGUUCAGUCUCUCUCCAUCCAUAGAGCAUCACCCGUGCGCCUUGGCCAUUACGUUUUCUGGUAAUUUUCAAUUAAAACGUUUAUAGAUAAUCAAUUAAUAAUUUUUAAGCCACUUUGGCAGCCAUGCACUGCAGCAGCCGUGCCGCAGUCUGCUGUCCAAGCUGAGUCAGCCGCAACUCCACGCUCAACGAUUCGCUCAAUUAGGUGCUAAGACAUUUUGGCUGGCAAAAGACUGAGGGGAAUGGAAUGACUGCAGUUGGGGGAUUUUCGCAGUGCAGUUGAUCAUAUUUAUUGGCUUUGCGAUUAGGCUUGGCGGAGCUCGAAUCGAGCUGGCUGGCUGGCUGGCUGGCUGGCUGGCUGGCGUCUUGCCGCUGGCCUAAUUGGGGGGACUCGACUCAGAGAUCUAAACUUGAAUAUUGAUGACGAUGUCGGAUCGUACAAAAAACACAAAUUCAAUGUCUGUGUGUGUUUUUGUUAUGGGGAAUAUUGCUACUUU